RNAcentral lists this ribosomal RNA (451 nucleotides) under uncultured bacterium. Its description in RNAcentral is "partial 16S ribosomal RNA". It matches the Rfam family "Bacterial small subunit ribosomal RNA", at positions 354 to 796 of the family's 1533-position model. The record is from RNAcentral.
GUGGGGAAUAUUGGACAAUGGGGGGAACCCUGAUCCAGCCAUGCCGCGUGUGUGAAGAAGGCCUUUUGGUUGUAAAGCACUUUAAGCGAGGAGGAGGCUACCGAGAUUAAUACUCUUGGAUAGUGGACGUUACUCGCAGAAUAAGCACCGGCUAACUCUGUGCCAGCAGCCGCGGUAAUACAGAGGGUGCAAGCGUUAAUCGGAUUUACUGGGCGUAAAGCGCGCGUAGGUGGCCAAUUAAGUCAAAUGUGAAAUCCCCGAGCUUAACUUGGGAAUUGCAUUCGAGACUGGUUGGCUAGAGUAUGGGAGAGGAUGGUAGAAUUCCAGGUGUAGCGGUGAAAUGCGUAGAGAUCUGGAGGAAUACCGAUGGCGAAGGCAGCCAUCUGGCCUAAUACUGACACUGAGGUGCGAAAGCAUGGGGAGCAAACAGGAUUAGAUACCCUGGUAGUCC